RNAcentral lists this ribosomal RNA (253 nucleotides) under uncultured bacterium. Its description in RNAcentral is "partial 16S ribosomal RNA". It matches the Rfam family "Archaeal small subunit ribosomal RNA", at positions 474 to 727 of the family's 1478-position model. RNAcentral also lists the same sequence under 1 other name. The record is from RNAcentral.
UACCCGCAGCACAAGUGGUGGUCAUUAUUAUUGGGCCUAAAGCGUCCGUAGCUGGCGUGUUAGAUGCCUGGGUAAAUCGAUGCGCUCAACGUAUCGAAUUCCGGGUAGACCGGCACGCUCGAGACCGGGAGAGGUGUAGGCUACUCGCGGGGUAGGGGUAAAAUCCUGUAAUCCUGCGGGGAGGACCAGUGGCGAAGGCGCUACACUAGAACGGCUCUGACAGUGAGGGACGAAGCCCUGGGGCGCAAACCGG